RNAcentral lists this ribosomal RNA (431 nucleotides) under Actinoplanes sp. R-45801. Its description in RNAcentral is "bacterial SSU rRNA". It matches the Rfam family "Bacterial small subunit ribosomal RNA", at positions 22 to 457 of the family's 1533-position model. The record is from RNAcentral. Lineage: Bacteria; Bacillati; Actinomycetota; Actinomycetes; Micromonosporales; Micromonosporaceae.
GCUCAGGACGAACGCUGGCGGCGUGCUUAACACAUGCAAGUCGAGCGGAAAGGCCCUUCGGGGUACUCGAGCGGCGAACGGGUGAGUAACACGUGAGUAACCUGCCCCAAACUUUGGGAUAACCCUCGGAAACGGGGGCUAAUACCGGAUACGACCUUGGACCGCAUGGUCUUUUGGUGGAAAGUUUUUCGGUUUGGGAUGGGCUCGCGGCCUAUCAGCUUGUUGGUGGGGUGAUGGCCUACCAAGGCGACGACGGGUAGCCGGCCUGAGAGGGCGACCGGCCACACUGGGACUGAGACACGGCCCAGACUCCUACGGGAGGCAGCAGUGGGGAAUAUUGCACAAUGGGCGGAAGCCUGAUGCAGCGACGCCGCGUGAGGGAUGACGGCCUUCGGGUUGUAAACCUCUUUCAGCAGGGACGAAGCGCAAGU